UAACGAAUAUUCCGCAAUGCGCGAAAGCGUGACGGAGCGAUGCCGCGUGCAGGAUGAAGCCCCUCGGGGUGUAAACUGCUGUCAGGGUAUAGCAAACAAAUGAGCAAACCCAAAGGAAGAGACGGCUAACUCUGUGCCAGCAGCCGCGGUAAUACAGAGGUCUCGAGCGUUAAUCGGAGUCACUGGGCUUAAAGGGUGCGUAGGCGGAUCUUCAAGUGUCUUGUGAAAUCCCACGGCUCAACCGUGGAAUUGCUCGAUAGACUGGAGAUCUUGAGGUUGGUAGGGGUCGCUGGAACUCUAGGUGGAGCGGUGAAAUGCGUAGAUAUCUAGAGGAACGCCGAAGGUGAAGACAAGCGACUGGGCCAAAUCUGACGCUGAGGCACGAAAGCGUGGGGAGCAAACGGGAUUAGAUACCCCCGUAGUCC
RNAcentral lists this ribosomal RNA (425 nucleotides) under uncultured bacterium. Its description in RNAcentral is "bacterial SSU rRNA". It matches the Rfam family "Bacterial small subunit ribosomal RNA", at positions 355 to 796 of the family's 1533-position model. The record is from RNAcentral.